GUGUGACCAAAAUCUUUCUUUCUCAUAGGAAAAAGGGAUAAAUCUGACUCACAUUGAAUCUCGACCUUCUCGUCUCAAUAAAGAUGAGUAUGAAUUCUUCAUUAACUUGGAAGGCAAUAAUGUUCCAGCAUUGGACAAGAUCAUCAAGUCCUUAAGAAAUGAUAUUGGAGUAACAGUGCAUGAACUUUCACGGACAAAAAAGAAGGACACUGUGCCAUGGUUCCCAAGAAGCAUUCAGGAGCUGGACAGAUUUGCCAAUCAAAUCCUAAGUUAUGGAGCAGAGCUGGAUGCUGACCAUCCUGGAUUCAAAGAUCCUGUGUACCGGGCCCGGAGGAAGGAGUUUGCAGACAUUGCCUACAACUACAGACAUGGUCAACCUAUUCCUCGAGUUACCUAUACAGAAGAA
Molecule: non-coding RNA, 406 nt
Organism: Meleagris gallopavo (turkey)
Lineage: Eukaryota; Metazoa; Chordata; Aves; Galliformes; Phasianidae
Source: RefSeq, a predicted model, not a curated record